Non-coding RNA from Pelobates cultripes (western spadefoot toad), 1318 nucleotides. Lineage: Eukaryota; Metazoa; Chordata; Amphibia; Anura; Pelobatidae. The record is from the annotation of a GenBank genome assembly.
GGCACAAGCUGUCUCCUGUAAGCCGACUGCACAGUUUGGAGUGGAUACCGCUGUGGGCUUGUGUCAUGUUCGGCUCUUGUUUUCAUUACAGAAUCGGAUGCAUGAAUCCCUCAAACUGUUUGACUCCAUCUGUAACAACAAGUGGUUUACAGACACGUCCAUCAUUCUUUUCCUGAAUAAGAAGGACAUCUUCCAGGAGAAGAUAAGAUGCUCUCCACUAACUAGCUGCUUCCCGGAAUACACAGGUACACACCUGCCUGCAGGAAUCUUUACAUACACACGGCAGUGAUGAGUGUAGCCUGAAGAUAAACCUGCAUUAUUAUCUGAUUAUUAGACAAACACACAUACCUUUAUGUGUACACAUCACUAGAAUUAUUUGCUGAAACACACAACAUGAGACCACCGCUGUGAGGGAAAUUAGUCCUAUGGUUAGGUCUACAUUAUUUAUAGCACGUAACAUAAUGUGGAAGAAUAUAUUCUCAUUAAAUUUCGUAUAUUAUAUAAUUAUUUCCCUCUGCUCAUGCCUCACUCCCAACCUCCCUGCUCCAGGUCCCAGCUCAUUCACCGAAGGCGUAGCUUACAUCCAGCACCAGUAUGAGAGCCGAUGCAAGUCCCCCAACAAGGAAAUCUACACCCACGUCACCUGUGCCACGGAUACCAACAACAUUCAGUUUGUGUUUGACGCUGUCACGGAUGUCAUCAUUGCCAACAACCUUCGUGGUUGUGGCCUAUACUGAGUUAUAAGCUGUGAGAGUUCACCAGCCUGAGUUGUGGGUUCUGAGGCCAUAGGAAGAAGACUUUAUACCCUUUGGCAAAACCAGACUUGCCUGCCGUCUCUGGUUAAACGCUGUAUGCCUGGACAUAUUUGCUUUAUUCCUCUAAAGUCUAGAAAGGGAGACAUAAAUGGCUAAAUGGACCUGUAUUUAUUGUUUCCCUGUAAUCUGUAUGGCUCAGAUAUUGUAUCCUAAUAUGUUCCCUAGGUAAACAUCAGUACAUUGUCAGUGAUUCACUGUUGGGUUACUUUCUAACUAGCCAUGCUGUUCUCAUGUAAUGUAUCCCACAAGGAAGACAAAGUGGUUAGUUGACAGUGUAUUACAACUCUGAAUCACCUGCCAAUAGGCUGUCUACAAUCUAGUUAUCAUACGUAACGCAUUGCCUGCCUUGUUCAAUGUUGAAGUGCCAAAUCUGUGUAUAUUCUGAAUGAAUACACCAAAACACUGUGAUCGGGACAUUCGGUUCAACUUAUGUAUUGCACUUGAGGUACAUAGGUGAAUAUAAAUCAUAUAUUAUUAUAAGUAGAAUUUUAUUUAUUUAAUUA